CUUGAGUAGAGCAUGUCUGGUCUUGGGUGCUGGGAGAUGGGAAAAGAGUGAUUAUUUCCCCUUAAUUUCCACAGUGGGAAGACUUGGCAAGAUAGCUCUGGAAGAUAGCUCCAGCUCAGGAAGAAGACCCUGCAGCCCAUUUCCUUUCAAAAGGCAGAGAUGAACAUUUUCCCUGGCCGUCUUGAAAUACACCAAUAUGUUUGGAAAUAAAGAGACUUGGCUUCCUGGUCCUGCUCUAAGAUGGGAGCUUAAACCUAUGGAAUGUGACACCACUUUGGGCAAAAACAGAAUUCUUAGCAAAGAAAUCAUUGAUGUUAAGGUAAAUUUAUUAAAUGUGAGUGAGUUCAUCUACUUCUCAGAUAAUUAAGACAUUACUUAUGGUGAACAAGCUUAUUUAUUAGCAUGUGUUUCCUUUAUGAUAUUGCAUUAUGAAUAUAUUAUAAUUGAACAUGCAUGGCUGAACUGUUUUUGGCACAAU
This 478-nucleotide long non-coding RNA is filed under the name Homo sapiens (human). Its description in RNAcentral is "HSALNT0374297". The record is from RNAcentral. Lineage: Eukaryota; Metazoa; Chordata; Mammalia; Primates; Hominidae.